ACUACAAGUCGCCCUAUCGCGGCUUAUUCUUGAUCUUUCUUAAUGAAAUGAUCAGGAAUAAGAUGAGGAAAGUCCGAACAACGCAGAGCGCUGCAUCGCCUAACGGGCGGGGUUCUUGCUUAGCAGGAAUACAGCUAGUGUCGCAGAAAAUAACCGCCUCAAUUUUAUUGAGGUAAGGGUGAAAAUGUGUGGUAAGAGCACACGCUUUGGUAAGGUAACUUAUCAGGGGGAUAAACCUUGCGGGUUGAAAUGUCAUGUAUACCAGUGACUUACUUACCUUGGUAAGUAUAAGAGAGUUGCUCGCUCGAUUGCUGGAGGGUAGGCAGAUAGAGGGUAGGAGUAAUCCUAUUCGUAGAUAAAUGAUAGGGGUUCUUACUUUUGUGAGAAUUACAGAAUUCGGCUUAUAGACUUGUAGUUUUU
This 420-nucleotide RNase P RNA is filed under the name Aureispira sp. Its description in RNAcentral is "RNase P RNA component class A". It matches the Rfam family "Bacterial RNase P class A". Rfam says of the family: Ribonuclease P (RNase P) is a ubiquitous endoribonuclease, found in archaea, bacteria and eukarya as well as chloroplasts and mitochondria. Its best characterised activity is the generation of mature 5'-ends of tRNAs by cleaving the 5'-leader elements of precursor-tRNAs. The record is from RNAcentral. Lineage: Bacteria; Pseudomonadati; Bacteroidota; Saprospiria; Saprospirales; Saprospiraceae.